RNAcentral lists this ribosomal RNA (948 nucleotides) under Streptococcus pyogenes SS1447. Its description in RNAcentral is "bacterial LSU rRNA". It matches the Rfam family "Bacterial large subunit ribosomal RNA", at positions 3 to 958 of the family's 2925-position model. Lineage: Bacteria; Bacillati; Bacillota; Bacilli; Lactobacillales; Streptococcaceae. The record is from RNAcentral.
UUAAGUUAAUAAGGGCGCACGGUGGAUGCCUUGGCACUAGAAGCCGAAGAAGGACGUGACAAACGACGAAAUGCUUUGGGGAGCUGUAAGUAAGCGCUGAUCCAGAGAUGUCCGAAUGGGGGAACCCACUAACUAAUGGUUAGUAUCCAUAACUGUUAAGGUUAUGAGAAGGAAGACGCAGUGAACUGAAACAUCUAAGUAGCUGCAGGAAGAGAAAGCAAACGCGAUUGCCUUAGUAGCGGCGAGCGAAACGGCAAGAGGGCAAACCGAAGUGUUUACACUUCGGGGUUGUAGGACUGCGACGUGGGACUUUAAAAGGAUAGAAGAAUUACCUGGGAAGGUAAGCCAAAGAGAGUAAAAGCCUCGUACUUAAAAUUCUUUUGAGCCCUAGCAGUAUCCUGAGUACGGCGAGACACGUGAAAUCUCGUUGGAAUCUGGGAGGACCAUCUCCCAACCCUAAAUACUCUCUAGUGACCGAUAGUGAACCAGUACCGUGAGGGAAAGGUGAAAAGCACCCCGGGAGGGGAGUGAAAUAGAACCUGAAACCGUGUGCCUACAACAAGUUCGAGCCCGUUAAUGGGUGAGAGCGUGCCUUUUGUAGAAUGAACCGGCGAGUUACGAUAUGAUGCGAGGUUAAGUUGAAGAGACGGAGCCGUAGGGAAACCGAGUCUUAAUAGGGCGAUUUAGUAUCAUGUUGUAGACCCGAAACCAUGUGACCUACCCAUGAGCAGGUUGAAGGUGAGGUAAAACUCACUGGAGGACCGAACCAGGGCACGUUGAAAAGUGCUUGGAUGACUUGUGGGUAGCGGAGAAAUUCCAAACGAACUUGGAGAUAGCUGGUUCUCUCCGAAAUAGCUUUAGGGCUAGCGUCGAUGUUAAGUCUCUUGGAGGUAGAGCACUGUUUGGGUGAGGGGUCCAUCUCGGAUUACCAAUCUCAGAUAAACUCCG